CCUACGGGAGGCUGCAGUGAGGAAUAUUGGUCAAUGGCCGGAAGGCUGAACCAGCCAUGCCGCGUGAAGGUCAGUGCCCUAUGGGCGUUAAACUUCUUUUGUGCGGGAGCAAUAAUGGUCACGUGUGGCCAGACGGGAGUACCGUACGAAUAAGCAUCGGCUAACUCCGUGACAGCAGCCGCGGUAAUACGGGGGAUGCAAGCGUUAUCCGGAGUUAUUGGGGUUAAAGGGUGCGUAGGCUGUGAGGUAAGUCAGCGGUGAAAUGCCCCCGCUCAACGGGGUGAAGUGCCAUUGAUACUGCCUUGCUGGAAUGCGGAUGCCGUGGGAGGAAUGUGUGGUGUAGCGGUGAAAUGCAUAGAUAUCACACAGAACACCGAUUGCGAAGGCAUCUCACGAAUCCGCGAUUGACGCUGAUGCACGAAAGUGUGGGUAUCAAACAGGAUUAGAUACCCUAGUAGUC
RNAcentral lists this ribosomal RNA (460 nucleotides) under uncultured bacterium. Its description in RNAcentral is "partial 16S ribosomal RNA". It matches the Rfam family "Bacterial small subunit ribosomal RNA", at positions 338 to 795 of the family's 1533-position model. The record is from RNAcentral.